Long non-coding RNA from Pogoniulus pusillus (Red-fronted tinkerbird), 607 nucleotides. RefSeq lists it as uncharacterized. Lineage: Eukaryota; Metazoa; Chordata; Aves; Piciformes; Lybiidae. The transcript is spliced from 3 exons. The record is from RefSeq and is a predicted model, not a curated record.
AUUUUUCCAGUUUGCCUUCCUGAGGUGUCUUAAGGCCUUUUGAGUUAAGGGCUGCUGUUCUGACCUCCAAGCAGCUCCUGGAAAGGACAGCUCAGCCUUGGCAUGGGGGAUGUUGGGUGGCUCAGUGCUUUCAGCUCUGCUGGGACACCUGAGCAUCUGCAAGGCUUCAAGGUUGGAACUGUGCUCCAAAACAAAGGUUAUUCCAGUCUACAGAAAAGCACAAUAAAGAGAGACAUGGUACUGGUUUGCCUGGUGUUGAGAGUGCGGGAGGAAUUGUGAUAAAAGAAGAAAUAAGGAAUCAAGCCAGCCACUAGAAAUGAAACUCCCCAAUUUUCAUUCCAAAUUCCCCCGAGCCAACUUCCCACUGUGGCACUUCUCCAAGACACAGAGAAGUGGAGUUGUUCUAUCUUGGGAAAACCAAGAAAAUAUAUCUUCUUGUGAACAGGUUCUCCCAGAAGAGAAACCUGCAUCUUUACACCACUGCAAAAACAACUCCAUUUUUGGUGAAGCUGGGUUCUCACCAAGAAGCUAACUGACCCAGAGAAAUAAACAGUUCAUGCAGGCUCUGGUGUUGAACAAAAGUGCCAGCAUUCUUUCAUUUUACAAA